This 22-nucleotide microRNA is filed under the name Ananas comosus (pineapple). Its description in RNAcentral is "microRNA 159n". The record is from RNAcentral. Lineage: Eukaryota; Viridiplantae; Streptophyta; Magnoliopsida; Poales; Bromeliaceae.
AUUGGAGUGAAGGGAGCUCGAA